RNAcentral lists this ribosomal RNA (235 nucleotides) under uncultured bacterium. Its description in RNAcentral is "partial 16S ribosomal RNA". It matches the Rfam family "Bacterial small subunit ribosomal RNA", at positions 96 to 334 of the family's 1533-position model. The record is from RNAcentral.
UGGCGGACGGGUGAGUAAUGUCUGGGAAACUGCCUGAUGGAGGGGGGUAACUACUGGAAACGGUAGCUAAUACCGCAUAACGUCGCAAGACCAAAGAGGGGGACCUUCGGGCCUCUUGCCAUCGGAUGUGCCCAGAUGGGAUUAGCUAGUAGGUGGGGUAACGGCUCACCUAGGCGACGAUCCCUAGCUGGUCUGAGAGGAUGACCAGUCACACUGGAACUGAGACACGGUCCAG